This 474-nucleotide ribosomal RNA is filed under the name uncultured organism. RNAcentral describes it as "partial 16S ribosomal RNA". It matches the Rfam family "Bacterial small subunit ribosomal RNA", at positions 335 to 800 of the family's 1533-position model. The record is from RNAcentral.
ACUCCUGCGGGAGGCAGCAGUGGGGAAUAUUGCACAAUGGGCGCAAGCCUGAUGCAGCCAUGCCGCGUGUAUGAAGAAGGCCUUCGGGUUGUAAAGUACUUUCAGCGGGGAGGAAGGCGAUAAGGUUAAUAACCUUGUUGAUUGACGUUACCCGCAGAAGAAGCACCGGCUAACUCCGUGCCAGCAGCCGCGGUAAUACGGAGGGUGCAAGCGUUAAUCGGAAUUACUGGGCGUAAAGCGCACGCAGGCGGUCUGUCAAGUCGGAUGUGAAAUCCCCGGGCUCAACCUGGGAACUGCAUUCGAAACUGGCAGGCUAGAGUCUUGUAGAGGGGGGUAGAAUUCCAGGUGUAGCGGUGAAAUGCGUAGAGAUCUGGAGGAAUACCGGUGGCGAAGGCGGCCCCCUGGACAAAGACUGACGCUCAGGUGCGAAAGCGUGGGGAGCAAACAGGAUUAGAAACCCGAGUAGUCCCAUGA